UACGGAGGAUCCGAGCGUUAUCCGGAUUUAUUGGGUUUAAAGGGUGCGUAGGCGGUUUGAUAAGUUAGAGGUGAAAUGUCGGGGCUCAACCCCGAAACUGCCUCUAAUACUGUUGGACUAGAGAAUAGUUGCGGUAGGCGGAAUGUAUGGUGUAGCGGUGAAAUGCUUAGAGAUCAUACAGAACACCGAUUGCGAAGGCGGCUUUCUGGACUGAAACUGACGCUGAGGCACGAAAGCGUGGGGAGCGAACAGG
This 253-nucleotide ribosomal RNA is filed under the name uncultured bacterium. Its description in RNAcentral is "partial 16S ribosomal RNA". It matches the Rfam family "Bacterial small subunit ribosomal RNA", at positions 524 to 776 of the family's 1533-position model. The record is from RNAcentral.